RNAcentral lists this ribosomal RNA (494 nucleotides) under uncultured bacterium. RNAcentral describes it as "partial 16S ribosomal RNA". It matches the Rfam family "Bacterial small subunit ribosomal RNA", at positions 28 to 507 of the family's 1533-position model. The record is from RNAcentral.
GACGAACGCUGGCGGCGCGCUUAACACAUGCAAGUCGAACGGAAAGGCCUGCUUUCCCUUGUGGAUUGCGGGUACUCGAGUGGCGAACGGGUGAGUAACACGUGAGUGAUCUGCCCCCAACUUGGGUAUAAGCCUGGGAAACUGGGUCUAAUUCCCGAUAGGACUGCAGGGUGGUGCCUGUGGUGGAAAACGAUUUUCUAGUGGUUGGGGAUGAGCUCGCGGCCUAUCAGCUUGUUGGUGGGGUAAUGGCCUACCAAGGCGGCGACGGGUAGCCGGCCUGAGAGGGUGGACGGCCUCAUUGGGACUGAGAUCCGGCCCAGACUCCUACGGGAGGCAGCAGUGGGGAAUAUUGCACAAUGGGCGGAAGCCUGAUGCAGCGACGCCGCGUGGGGGAUGACGGCCUUCGGGUUGUAAACUCCUUUCGACCGCGAGGAAGCCACCUGGUUGGAAGGGUGGUGACGGUAGUGGUAGAAGAAGCACCGGCUAACUACGUG